GACGAACGCUGGCGGCGUGCCUAAUACAUGCAAGUUGAGCGCUGAAGGUUGGUACUUGUACCGACUGGAUGAGCAGCGAACGGGUGAGUAACGCGUGGGGAAUCUGCCUUUGAGCGGGGGACAACAUUUGGAAACGAAUGCUAAUACCGCAUAAAAACUUUAAACACAAGUUUUAAGUUUGAAAGAUGCAAUUGCAUCACUCAAAGAUGAUCCCGCGUUGUAUUAGCUAGUUGGUGAGGUAAAGGCUCACCAAGGCGAUGAUACAUAGCCGACCUGAGAGGGUGAGCGGCCACAUUGGGACGGAGACACGGCCCAAACUCCUACGGGAGGCAGCAGUAGGGAAUCUUCGGCAAUGGACGAAAGUCUGACCGAGCAACGCCGCGUGAGUGAAGAAGGCUUUCGGAUCGUAAAACUCUGUUGGUAGAGAAGAACGUUGGUGAGAGUGGAAAGCUCAUCAAGUGACGGUAACUACCCAGAAAGGGACGGCUAACUACGUG
This 497-nucleotide ribosomal RNA is filed under the name uncultured bacterium. RNAcentral describes it as "partial 16S ribosomal RNA". It matches the Rfam family "Bacterial small subunit ribosomal RNA", at positions 28 to 507 of the family's 1533-position model. The record is from RNAcentral.